Molecule: unclassified non-coding RNA, 329 nt
Filed under: soil metagenome
Description: partial contains 5.8S ribosomal RNA, internal transcribed spacer 2, and large subunit ribosomal RNA
Rfam family: 5.8S ribosomal RNA (bases 1-120)
Source: RNAcentral
GAUGAAGAACGUAGCGAAAUGCGAUAAGUAAUGUGAAUUGCAGAACUCAGUGAAUCAUCGAAUCUUUGAACGCACAUUGCGCCCCUUGGUAUUCCGAGGGGCAUGCCUGUUCGAGCGUCAUUUCAACCCUCAAGCACAGCUUGGUCUUGGGCUUCGCCGCUAACCCGGCGGGUCUUAAAAUCAGUGGCGGUGCCGUCGGGCCCUGAGCGCAGUAAUCUCUCUCGCUAUAGGGUCCCGGCGGAUGCUGGCCAGUAACCCCCAAUUUUCUAUGGUUGACCUCGGAUCAGGUAGGGAUACCCGCUGAACUUAAGCAUAUCAAUAAGCGGGGA